AUGUGGUGCAUCUCCAUGGAUGACGUGGUCUCGGACCGUGGUCCCCAGUUCACAGCCCGGUUCUGGAGGGCCUUUUGUCAUCUAUUGGGAGCAUCAGUCAGCCUAUCUUCGGGCUAUCACCCGCAGAACAACAGCCAAACGGAGCGGGCAAACCAACAACUGGGUCGGUACCUCCGCUGCUUUGUCUCGGCCCAACGCUUGCAGUGGCCUAAGUACCUUCUCUGGGCUGAGUUAUCCCACAAUCUCCACACCUCCUCGGCCACUCUGAUGUCCCCGUUCGAAGUCUGUUAUGGCUACCACCCUCCAGUCUUUGCCCACCAGGAACCCGAAGUUACGGUGCCGGCCGCUCAAUCCCUGGUGAGGCGCUGCAGGAACACCUGGAUCAAGGCGCGGGCCUCCAUAACCCGAGCUAACACCCGUUACUCUCACCAACAUCUCUACCGACACCGUCCUGGUCCCUCCUAUGCUCCAGGGGAUAAGGUCUGGGUGUCCACGGCAGACCUCAGUGUCCGUGCCGGGUCCAGGAAGCUCGCGCCCUGGUUCCUCAGGCCUUACCCCGUGCAAAGGGUCAUCAACCCGGUCAGGUACCGGCUGCGGUUGCCUGCGAGUCUCCGCAUCCAUCCCACCUUCCAUACCUCCCGGCUCAAGCCCUACGUGGAAUCCUCCCUCCUGCCGCCUCCGGCGCCUCCGCCUGCCCGCUUCCUCAACGGUGAGCCCAUCUACACCGUCCGGCGCAUCCUGGACGCUCGCUGCAGGGCUCGGGGCUGGCAGUAUCUCGUCGAUUGGGCGGGCUAUGGCCCCGAGGAACGCUCCUGGGAGCUGGUCCGCUCCAUCUUGGACCCUACCCUCGUCUCUGACUUCUGGAACCGCCGAGGUCGCCCUGGGACUUCUGGAGCCGUCCCUGGACCGGGGGUCCUGUCAGAGCCCAAGCCCCCGGACCAGUCUGUCCCAGCUAACCGGCCUCCAUCUUGGACCACAUUUCCCAGCAUGCUCCUCGCGGGAACUCCCGGCAUUCUCCCCGUCACUCCCAGGUCUAUAUAUGGAAGACGCCGCACCGGCUCUUCACUCAGUCAUCGUUUUUUUGAAAUCCAUGAACAGAGUUCUCUACCAAAUAAUCCAGCCUUCUAA
Molecule: long non-coding RNA, 1128 nt
Filed under: Nothobranchius furzeri (turquoise killifish)
Lineage: Eukaryota; Metazoa; Chordata; Actinopteri; Cyprinodontiformes; Nothobranchiidae
Description: lncRNA (ENSNFUG00015008617.1)
Source: RNAcentral